AUACUUACCACAGGACGUCAGUGGAGAUCAAGAAGUCCUAUUGACCGGGUAUGCCUUUCUUAAAGGAUGCCGCACUGUCAGGCAGCUGCAACUGCACUUGUGCGUCGCAUGCAGCCUCAUGACUUUUUACCAGUGCUGGUUCCUUAGCGACAAUCACUUUCCUGCGGAAGGCGUGCUUGCUGACGUCUCAUUCUCUCGUCUGCCGCUAGGCGCUGGGGACUUCGGUUUCUGGCACUGGCGGGGGACCCUUUUUUCCUUCUGCCUGGAGAAGUAAUGUGCUGAUUACAACUUAGCACUGAGAGAGCUGGGGCCGCUGCGUCAUAGGGGCCUGCCGGGAGUGAACGAUACCUGGUUGUGGACGCGCUGGCCGCCGCCUUCGGGUAGCAGUCGGCUGUUCGCAGCUUGCAGUAGGGGUUUCACGGGGAGGUUCUGGCAAAGCGGUCUUGGUGGAGACGGGUGGGUCUUAUAAUUUUUGAUUUCUAUC
Molecule: small nuclear RNA, 484 nt
Rfam family: Yeast U1 spliceosomal RNA
About the family: U1 is a small nuclear RNA (snRNA) component of the spliceosome (involved in pre-mRNA splicing). Its 5' end forms complementary base pairs with the 5' splice junction, thus defining the 5' donor site of an intron.
Source: Rfam